Molecule: ribosomal RNA, 253 nt
Filed under: uncultured bacterium
Lineage: Bacteria
Description: partial 16S ribosomal RNA
Rfam family: Bacterial small subunit ribosomal RNA
Source: RNAcentral
UACGUAGGCAGCGAGCGUUGUUCGGAGUUACUGGGCGUAAAGGGUGUGUAGGCGGUUGUUUAAGUUUGGUGUGAAAUCUCCCGGCUCAACUGGGAGGGUGCGCCGAAUACUGAAUGACUAGAGUGCGGGAGAGGUGAGUGGAAUUCCUGGUGUAGCGGUGAAAUGCGCAGAUAUCAGGAAGAACACCAAUGGCGAAGGCAGCUCUCUGGGACGGUACUGACGCUGAGACGCGAAAGCGUGGGGAGCAAACAGG